UCCUGGUUAGCUCAGUUGAUAGAGCGCUCCACUGGAAACGAAGAGGUCCCUUGUUCAAUGCAAGGACCAGGCG
This 73-nucleotide transfer RNA is filed under the name Ixodes scapularis (black-legged tick). It matches the Rfam family "tRNA". From Rfam's summary of the family: Transfer RNA (tRNA) molecules are approximately 80 nucleotides in length. Their secondary structure includes four short double-helical elements and three loops (D, anti-codon, and T loops). The record is from Rfam by way of RNAcentral. Lineage: Eukaryota; Metazoa; Arthropoda; Arachnida; Ixodida; Ixodidae.